GCCAGGCAUGGUGGCACAUGCCUGUAAUCCCAGCAGCUCAGGAGGCUGAGACAGGAGGAUCGAGAGUUCAAAGCCAGCCUCAGCAAUGGCAAUAUGCUUAGCAACUCAGGGAGACCCUGUCUCUA
RNAcentral lists this small RNA (125 nucleotides) under Marmota monax (woodchuck). Lineage: Eukaryota; Metazoa; Chordata; Mammalia; Rodentia; Sciuridae. The record is from RNAcentral.